AUUUAAAUAGCUUAUAUUUAGAGCGUAAUAUUGAAGAUAUUAAAGAGAUUAUUAAAAUCUUUAAAUA
RNAcentral lists this transfer RNA (67 nucleotides) under Plutella porrectella (Dame's rocket moth). Its description in RNAcentral is "tRNA-Phe". The record is from RNAcentral. Lineage: Eukaryota; Metazoa; Arthropoda; Insecta; Lepidoptera; Plutellidae.